Molecule: ribosomal RNA, 420 nt
Filed under: uncultured Nitrososphaerota archaeon
Lineage: Archaea; Thermoproteati; Nitrososphaerota
Description: bacterial SSU rRNA
Rfam family: Archaeal small subunit ribosomal RNA
Source: RNAcentral
CAGCCGGCGCGGUAAAACCAGCACCUUAAGUGGUCAGGAUGAUUAUUGGGCCUAAAGCAUCCGUAGCCGGCUUUGUAAGUUUUUGGUUAAAUUUGUACGCUUAACGUACCGGCUGCCGGGAAUUCUGCAGAGGUAGGGAGUGGGAGAGGUAGGCGGUACUUGGUAGGAAGGGGUAAAAUCCUUUGAUUUAUUGAUGGCCCCCUGUGGGGAAGGCGGUUUACCAGAACACGUUCGGCGGUGAGGGAUGAAGGCUGGGGGAGCAAACCGGAUUAGAUACCCGGGUAGUCCCAGCUGUAAACUAUGCAAACUCAGUGAUGCAUUGGCUUGUGGCCAAUGCAGUGCUGCAGGGAAGCCGUUAAGUUUGCCGCCUGGGAAGUACGUACGCAAGUAUGAAACUUAAAGGAAUUGGCGGGGGAGCAC